GAGUUUGAUCCUGGCUCAGAUGAACGCUAGCGGCGUGCUUAACACAUGCAAGUCGAACGGUGAACACGGAGCUUGCUCUGUGGGAUCAGUGGCGAACGGGNGAGUAACACGUGAGCAACCUGCCCCUGACUCUGGGAUAAGCGUUGGAAACGGCGUCUAAUACUGGAUACGAGUAGCGAUCGCAUGNUCAGCUACUGGAAAGAUUUUUUGGUUGGGGAUGGGCUCGCGGCCUAUCAGCUUGUUGGUGAGGUAAUGGCUCACCAAGGCGUCGACGGGUAGCCGGCCUGAGAGGGUGACCGGCCACACUGGGACUGAGACACGGCCCAGACUCCUACGGGAGGCAGCAGUGGGGAAUAUUGCACAAUGGGCGGAAGCCUGAUGCAGCAACGCCGCGUGAGGGAUGACGGCCUUCGGGUUGUAAACCU
RNAcentral lists this ribosomal RNA (425 nucleotides) under potato plant root bacterium RC-III-86. RNAcentral describes it as "bacterial SSU rRNA". It matches the Rfam family "Bacterial small subunit ribosomal RNA", at positions 9 to 432 of the family's 1533-position model. The record is from RNAcentral.